RNAcentral lists this ribosomal RNA (446 nucleotides) under Escherichia coli. RNAcentral describes it as "bacterial SSU rRNA". It matches the Rfam family "Bacterial small subunit ribosomal RNA", at positions 1 to 443 of the family's 1533-position model. The record is from RNAcentral. Lineage: Bacteria; Pseudomonadati; Pseudomonadota; Gammaproteobacteria; Enterobacterales; Enterobacteriaceae.
AAAUUGAAGAGUUUGAUCAUGGCUCAGAUUGAACGCUGGCGGCAGGCCUAACACAUGCAAGUCGAACGGUAACAGGAAGCAGCUUGCUGCUUUGCUGACGAGUGGCGGACGGGUGAGUAAUGUCUGGGAAACUGCCUGAUGGAGGGGGAUAACUACUGGAAACGGUAGCUAAUACCGCAUAACGUCGCAAGACCAAAGAGGGGGACCUUCGGGCCUCUUGCCAUCGGAUGUGCCCAGAUGGGAUUAGCUUGUUGGUGGGGUAACGGCUCACCAAGGCGACGAUCCCUAGCUGGUCUGAGAGGAUGACCAGCCACACUGGAACUGAGACACGGUCCAGACUCCUACGGGAGGCAGCAGUGGGGAAUAUUGCACAAUGGGCGCAAGCCUGAUGCAGCCAUGCCGCGUGUAUGAAGAAGGCCUUCGGGUUGUAAAGUACUUUCAGCGGG